Molecule: ribosomal RNA, 773 nt
Filed under: uncultured bacterium
Lineage: Bacteria
Description: bacterial SSU rRNA
Rfam family: Bacterial small subunit ribosomal RNA
Source: RNAcentral
AGAGUUUGAUCAUGGCUCAGGACGAACGCUGGCGGCGUGCUUAACACAUGCAAGUCGAACGGAAAGGCCCUUCGGGGUACUCGAGUGGCGAACGGGUGAGUAACACGUGGGUGAUCUGCCCUGCACUCUGGGAUAAGCCUGGGAAACUGGGUCUAAUACCGGAUAGGACCGCAUGCUUCAUGGUGUGUGGUGCAAAGCUUUUGCGGUGUGGGAUGAGCCCGCGGCCUAUCAGCUUGUUGGUGGGGUAAUGGCCUACCAAGGCGACGACGGGUAGCCGGCCUGAGAGGGUGACCGGCCACACUGGGACUGAGAUACGGCCCAGACUCCUACGGGAGGCAGCAGUGGGGAAUAUUGCACAAUGGGCGCAAGCCUGAUGCAGCGACGCCGCGUGAGGGAUGACGGCCUUCGGGUUGUAAACCUCUUUCAGCACAGACGAAGCGCGAGUGACGGUAUGUGCAGAAGAAGGACCGGCCAACUACGUGCCAGCAGCCGCGGUAAUACGUAGGGUCCGAGCGUUGUCCGGAAUUACUGGGCGUAAAGAGCUCGUAGGUGGUUUGUCGCGUUGUUCGUGAAAACUCACAGCUUAACUGUGGGCGUGCGGGCGAUACGGGCAGACUGGAGUACUGCAGGGGAGACUGGAAUUCCUGGUGUAGCGGUGGAAUGCGCAGAUAUCAGGAGGAACACCGGUGGCGAAGGCGGGUCUCUGGGCAGUAACUGACGCUGAGGAGCGAAAGCGUGGGGAGCGAACAGGAUUAGAUACCCCGGUAGUCCAA